GACGAACGCUGGCGGCGUGCUUAACACAUGCCAGUCGAACGGAAAGGCCCUGCUUUUGUGGGGUGCUCGAGUGGCGAACGGGUGAGUAACACGUGAGUAACCUGCCCUUGACUUUGGGAUAACUUCAGGAAACUGGGGCUAAUACCGGAUAGGAGCUCCUGCUGCAUGGUGGGGGUUGGAAAGUUUCGGCGGUUGGGGAUGGACUCGCGGCUUAUCAGCUUGUUGGUGGGGUAGUGGCUUACCAAGGCUUUGACGGGUAGCCGGCCUGAGAGGGUGACCGGCCACAUUGGGACUGAGAUACGGCCCAGACUCCUACGGGAGGCAGCAGUGGGGAAUAUUGCACAAUGGGCGGAAGCCUGAUGCAGCAACGCCGCGUGCGGGAUGACGGCCUUCGGGUUGUAAACCGCUUUCGCCUGUGACGAAGCUUGAGUGACGGUAAUGGGUAAAGAAGCACCGGCUAACUACGUG
RNAcentral lists this ribosomal RNA (468 nucleotides) under uncultured bacterium. RNAcentral describes it as "partial 16S ribosomal RNA". It matches the Rfam family "Bacterial small subunit ribosomal RNA", at positions 28 to 507 of the family's 1533-position model. The record is from RNAcentral.